RNAcentral lists this ribosomal RNA (417 nucleotides) under uncultured bacterium. Its description in RNAcentral is "bacterial SSU rRNA". It matches the Rfam family "Bacterial small subunit ribosomal RNA", at positions 506 to 921 of the family's 1533-position model. The record is from RNAcentral.
GGCCAGCAGCCGCGGUAAUACAGAGGGGGCAAGCGUUGUUCGGAAUUACUGGGCGUAAAGGGCGCGUAGGCGGCCUUCUAAGUCGAACGUGAAAUCCCCGGGCUCAACCCGGGAACUGCGUCCGAUACUGGAAGGCUUGAAUCCGGGAGAGGGAUGCGGAAUUCCAGGUGUAGCGGUGAAAUGCGUAGAUAUCUGGAGGAACACCGGUGGCGAAGGCGGCAUCCUGGACCGGCAUUGACGCUGAGGCGCGAAAGCCAGGGGAGCAAACGGGAUUAGAUACCCCGGUAGUCCUGGCCCUAAACGAUGAAUGCUUGGUGUGGCGGGUAUCGAUCCCUGCCGUGCCGAAGCUAACGCAUUAAGCAUUCCGCCUGGGGAGUACGGUCGCAAGGCUGAAACUUAAAGGAAUUGGCGGGGGAU